AUGGGGCGGACCACGGUUAACCCCAUUUGGAGUAAGAUAUGGAAGUUAGCUUGUCCGGCAAAAGUUAAAAAAAUUAUAUGGCGUACGCUUCAUGGAACACUACCAUGCCGGAUUACACUCGCUAACAAACAUAUGAAGGUCUCGCCCAUUUGCCCUACUUGCUCUGAGGGUUUAGAGGAUACAAAGCAUAUGCUCUUUCGGUGCAGUAAAGCAAAGGGAGUUUGGAAAAGUUUGGAGUUGGAUGACAUUAUUGAUAAAACUUGCGAAGUUGACCAUGUUGAAGAGGCAGUGUUGGAAUAUCUACUACUUCUUCCAGACAAGAAUUGUAUGGGCUACAAUAAUGUCCGUGAGAUGAUUGAUGUCUCAACAUGGUAUCUAUGGUGGGAAAGACGAAAAUCGAUGUACAAGGAGAAAACGCAAAAUGCAAUUCAGAUUUCAAUGGGGGUUUUAGCCCUUACCAAAAACUUUGUAAAUGCUUUAUCCCCCAAGGCCUCUAUAAAAGGGGGGUGGUUGUGUCCCCCCAGAGGUUUUGUGAAACUUAACAUCGAUGCUUCUUUUGACCACGACCUGCUUAGGGGCACGAUGGGGGCGGUCCUGAGAGACGACAGAGGCGGAUUCAUUGUGGGAGAAAAUGGGAAGAUUGACUAUUGUGCGGAUGUGUUGAUGGCGGAAGCCUUAGCUCUGAACUUUGGUCUAUCACUAGCGCAAAGGGCGGGAUGUAAUCGCCUUAUUAUUAACUCGGAUAACCUGGAGGUGAUUGAAACUAUGUAG
Molecule: ribosomal RNA, 771 nt
Filed under: Triticum aestivum (bread wheat)
Lineage: Eukaryota; Viridiplantae; Streptophyta; Magnoliopsida; Poales; Poaceae
Description: partial small subunit ribosomal RNA
Source: RNAcentral